GCUGGGUGCAGUGGCACAUGCCUGUGGUCCCAGCUUCUUGGGAGCCUGAGGCAGGAGGAUCGCUUGAGGCUGGGAGUUCUGGGCUGUAGUGUGCAAUGCUGAUUGGGUGUCCACUCUUAAGUUCGGCAUCAAUAUGGGGACUACACCAGGUUGCCUAAGGAGGGGUGAACCAGUCCAGGUUGGAAAUGGAGCAGGUCAAAACUCCCUUCCUGUUUGAAGUGGGAUUGGGCCUGUAACUAGCCACUGUACUCAAGCCUGGGCAACAUAGCAAGACCUCAUCUCUA
This 284-nucleotide signal recognition particle RNA is filed under the name Nomascus leucogenys (northern white-cheeked gibbon). RNAcentral describes it as "Metazoan signal recognition particle RNA". It matches the Rfam family "Metazoan signal recognition particle RNA". Rfam says of the family: The signal recognition particle (SRP) is a universally conserved ribonucleoprotein. It is involved in the co-translational targeting of proteins to membranes. The eukaryotic SRP consists of a 300-nucleotide 7S RNA and six proteins: SRPs 72, 68, 54, 19, 14, and 9. The record is from Rfam by way of RNAcentral. Lineage: Eukaryota; Metazoa; Chordata; Mammalia; Primates; Hylobatidae.